RNAcentral lists this ribosomal RNA (443 nucleotides) under uncultured bacterium. Its description in RNAcentral is "partial 16S ribosomal RNA". It matches the Rfam family "Bacterial small subunit ribosomal RNA", at positions 338 to 795 of the family's 1533-position model. The record is from RNAcentral.
CCUACGGGUGGCAGCAGUGGGGAAUAUUGGGCAAUGGGCGCAAGCCUGACCCAGCAACGCCGCGUGAAGGAAGAAGGCCCUCGGGUUGUAAACUUCUUUUAUCAGGGACGAAGCAAGUGACGGUACCUGAUGAAUAAGCCACGGCUAACUACGUGCCAGCAGCCGCGGUAAUACGUAGGUGGCAAGCGUUAUCCGGAUUUACUGGGUGUAAAGGGCGUGUAGGCGGGAAAGCAAGUCAGAUGUGAAAACCAUGGGCUCAACCUGUGGCCUGCAUUUGAAACUGUUUUUCUUGAGUACUGGAGAGGCAGACGGAAUUCCUAGUGUAGCGGUGAAAUGCGUAGAUAUUAGGAGGAACACCGGUGGCGAAGGCAGUCUGCUGGACAGCAGCUGACGCUGAGGCGCGAAAGCGUGGGGAGCAAACAGGAUUAGAUACCCGGGUAGUC